RNAcentral lists this ribosomal RNA (519 nucleotides) under uncultured Sphingomonadales bacterium. RNAcentral's name for it is "bacterial SSU rRNA". It matches the Rfam family "Bacterial small subunit ribosomal RNA", at positions 96 to 633 of the family's 1533-position model. The record is from RNAcentral. Lineage: Bacteria; Pseudomonadati; Pseudomonadota; Alphaproteobacteria; Sphingomonadales.
CGGCGCACGGGUGCGUAACGCGUAUGCAAUCUACCUUUCACAGAGGGAUAGCCCAGAGAAAUUUGGAUUAAUACCUCAUAGUAUAUAGAGUUGGCAUCAACAUUAUAUUAAAGUCACAACGGUGAAAGAUGAGCAUGCGUCCCAUUAGCUAGUUGGUAAGGUAACGGCUUACCAAGGCGACGAUCCUUAGCUGGUCUGAGAGGAUGAUCAGCCACACUGGGACUGAGACACGGCCCAGACUCCUACGGGAGGCAGCAGUGGGGAAUAUUGGACAAUGGGCGAAAGCCUGAUCCAGCAAUGCCGCGUGAGUGAUGAAGGCCUUAGGGUUGUAAAGCUCUUUUACCCGGGAUGAUAAUGACAGUACCGGGAGAAUAAGCUCCGGCUAACUCCGUGCCAGCAGCCGCGGUAAUACGGAGGGAGCUAGCGUUGUUCGGAAUUACUGGGCGUAAAGAGUACGUAGGCGGUGAUUCAAGUCAGAGGUGAAAGCCUGGAGCUCAACUCCAGAACUGCCUUUGAAAC